Molecule: unclassified non-coding RNA, 273 nt
Filed under: Hevea brasiliensis (rubber tree)
Lineage: Eukaryota; Viridiplantae; Streptophyta; Magnoliopsida; Malpighiales; Euphorbiaceae
Source: RNAcentral
GGGUUUAAACUUUAAAGAGGGCUUUUAAAGUAGAUAAAAGUUUUUCUUGAGCAGCAUUUUAAUAUUUUGAUGUUACUUGGAGACAUCAGUUGACCAGGCAACCGGACACCACCCCACAGUUUGACAAGAACACUCUCUUGUUUUAUCUGAUCAUAUUACUAUUUUUAUGUCUUUCUUUUUAAUCUCUGGUUUUGGAUUUCAAGGUAUUAUGGCGAAUUCAGCAGCUUUUUUCCCUUAGUUUCUUCAAUAUUUUUUGCUGCUAGUUUCUCGAGA